RNAcentral lists this long non-coding RNA (512 nucleotides) under Helianthus annuus (common sunflower). The record is from RNAcentral. Lineage: Eukaryota; Viridiplantae; Streptophyta; Magnoliopsida; Asterales; Asteraceae.
AUGAACUCGCUCAACUUUAUGUUGAUUUUUCGCAUGUUUCUUUCUCAGGUUGCAUUUCUAAGACAAGGUACGGUUGGAAUAGGAGAACCAUGAAGAGUCGAGUACUUAGCGGGCGUUCAAUUUUUAGAAGUCUUAGCUUAUUUGCUUCUGCUGUGCAAUGAAGAUACCAGUCCAGUCACGCCAUGCUCUGAUAAUUUCGGGGUGUGACAUUAUCAUCAUCACACACAACUCACCUCCUUCCCUUCUCUCUCUCUUUGGCCGAGAACACCCACAACAUCAUCAACAUCAUCAUCCAACUCACUUCCAUACAUUCCAAGUUCAUUUCAUGAUACAAGAAGGUGUUUAAACAAGCUUGGUGGUCUUGGAUCUUGAAGGACCUCUCCCGAUUGCUUUUAUCCACCACUUUUGUCAUCAUCAACAUCAAGUGUUCUUCCUUAGCCUUGUGCUAGUAGUAAGGCCCUUAUGAUCUCUUGAUCUUUCAUAUAUAGUUGGUUAAUAAGUGAUGAACAUUA